Molecule: ribosomal RNA, 372 nt
Filed under: uncultured bacterium
Lineage: Bacteria
Description: bacterial SSU rRNA
Rfam family: Bacterial small subunit ribosomal RNA
Source: RNAcentral
GACGAAGGAUGCAAGCGUUAUCCGGAUUCAUUGGGUUUAAAGGGAGCGUAGGCGGACUUAUAAGUCAGUGGUGAAAUCUCCGGGCUUAACCCGGAAACUGCCAUUGAUACUGUAGGUCUAGAGUACAUUUGCUGUGGGCGGAAUAUGACAUGUAGUGGUGAAAUACUUAGAUAUGUCAUAGAACACCGAUUGCGAAGGCAGCUCACAAAAAUGUAACUGACGCUGAGGCUCGAAAGUGCGGGGAUCAAACAGGAUUAGAUACCCUGGUAGUCCGCACUGUAAACGAUGAUUACUCGCUGCUUGGGGGCAACCCUGAGUGGCUUAGCGAAAGCGAUAAGUAAUCCACCUGGGGAGUACGCCGGCAACGGUGAA